AUGAAGACACUGUGUGGACCUUUUGUCCUGUGCUUGUGGCUGCAGCUGAACUGUGUGAGCAGAGCAGAGCAGCUGGAACAGCAGCCUUCUCUCCUGAGUGUCCAGGAGGGAAGCAGCGCCCUUAUCACCUGCACCUACACAGCCACUGUUCCUUCCUUCUUCUCCUGGUACAAGCAAGUGCCUGGGGCAGGUCUCCAGUUCCUUUUAAAUAUUUUUUCAAAUGUGGACAGGAAAGAAGAACAAGGACUCACUGUCCUGCUGAAUAAGGAGGACAAACGUCUCUCCCUGAACAUCACAGCUGCCCAUCCUGGAGACUCAGCCACAUACUUCUGUGCAGCAAGUGCACAGUGCUCCCCAGGCACCUGUUGCCUGCACACAAACCUGUGA
Molecule: non-coding RNA, 387 nt
Organism: Microtus ochrogaster (prairie vole)
Lineage: Eukaryota; Metazoa; Chordata; Mammalia; Rodentia; Cricetidae
Source: the annotation of a RefSeq genome assembly